GACGAACGCUGGCGGCGUGCUUAACACAUGCAAGUCGAACGAUGAAGCUGGAGCUUGCUCCGGCGGAUUAGUGGCGAACGGGUGAGUAACACGUGAGCAAUCUGCCCUUCACUCUGGGAUAACUGCGGGAAACUGUAGCUAAUACCGGAUACGAGGCUUGGAGGCAUCUCCAGGUCUGGAAAGAAUUUCGGUGAAGGAUGAGCUCGCGGCCUAUCAGCUUGUUGGUGAGGUAAUGGCUCACCAAGGCGACGACGGGUAGCCGGCCUGAGAGGGUGACCGGCCACACUGGGACUGAGACGCGGCCCAGACUCCUACGGGAGGCAGAAGUGGGGAAUAUUGCACAAUGGGCGAAAGCCUGAUGCAGCAACGCCGCGUGAGGGAUGAAGGCCUUCGGGUUGUAAACCUCUUUUAGCAGGGAAGAAGCGAAAGUGACGGUACCUGCAGAAAAAGCACCGGCUAACUACGUGCCAGCCGCCGCCGUAA
This 483-nucleotide ribosomal RNA is filed under the name uncultured bacterium. RNAcentral's name for it is "partial 16S ribosomal RNA". It matches the Rfam family "Bacterial small subunit ribosomal RNA", at positions 28 to 523 of the family's 1533-position model. The record is from RNAcentral.